GACGAACGCUGGCGGCGUGCCUAAUACAUGCCAGUUGAGCGAUGAAGAUUGGUGCUUGCACCAAUUUGAAGAGCAGCGAACGGGUGAGUAACGCGUGGGGAAUCUGCCUUUGAGCGGGGGACAACAUUUGGAAACGAAUGCUAAUACCGCAUAACAACUUUAAACAUAAGUUUUAAGUUUGAAAGAUGCAAUUGCAUCACUCAAAGAUGAUCCCGCGUUGUAUUAGCUAGUUGGUGAGGUAAAGGCUCACCAAGGCGAUGAUACAUAGCCGACCUGAGAGGGUGAUCGGCCACAUUGGGACUGAGACGCGGCCCAAACUCCUACGGGAGGCAGCAGUAGGGAAUCUUCGGCAAUGGACGAAAGUCUGACCGAGCAACGCCGCGUGAGUGAAGAAGGUUUUCGGAUCGUAAAACUCUGUUGGUAGAGAAGAACGUUGGUGAGAGUGGAAAGCUCAUCAAGUGACGGUAACUACCCAGAAAGGGACGGCUAACUACGUG
Molecule: ribosomal RNA, 497 nt
Filed under: uncultured bacterium
Lineage: Bacteria
Description: partial 16S ribosomal RNA
Rfam family: Bacterial small subunit ribosomal RNA
Source: RNAcentral